This 254-nucleotide ribosomal RNA is filed under the name uncultured bacterium. RNAcentral's name for it is "partial 16S ribosomal RNA". It matches the Rfam family "Bacterial small subunit ribosomal RNA", at positions 796 to 1041 of the family's 1533-position model. The record is from RNAcentral.
CUAGCCGUAAACGUUGUGCACUUGGUGUGGGGGGACUCAACCCCCUCUGUGCCGAAGCUAACGCGAUAAGUGCACCGCCUGGGGAGUACGGUCGCAAGAUUAAAACUCAAAGGAAUUGACGGGGGCCCGCACAAGCGGUGGAGCAUGUGGCUUAAUUCGAUGCAACGCGAAGAACCUUACCAGGGUUUGACAUAAUAGGAUUAACCUUGUGAAAGCAGGGGGCUUGCCCUUCGGGGUGUAACUAUUACAGGUGC